Molecule: long non-coding RNA, 384 nt
Filed under: Trifolium pratense (red clover)
Lineage: Eukaryota; Viridiplantae; Streptophyta; Magnoliopsida; Fabales; Fabaceae
Description: long non-coding RNA (TPRA_LNC009208)
Source: RNAcentral
AAACCGGUGUGCACAAUUACAUCAUUUCGUUACUUAAGUAGCGAAUCAUAUGUCAUUCGGACACAAACAAUUACUUUUCCACCAACUUUUUUGCAAACCCUUCAAAAAAAAAUCAUUUUCACCAAAAUUUUGUUUCCAACACAACUAAAGCAUCAAAGAACUCUACAUACAUCCUAGUGAGCUGAAUACAAAGGUAAUGUGUAUCUAAAACUUCUCUCGUAUGCAUUUCGUAUGAAUCAUGUCAAUCUGUCGUACUGGUCAGGUUCGCUACUUAUGUAGCGGAUUACUGUUACUGGAACUAAAUUUGUUUUAGUUAUAGUUGAUCCUAAACCAAGUAAAGAACCUAAGGUUGGUGUGAAGCUAUCUAAGGUUGAAGAUAAGGGC